UAGCCCUAAACGAUGUAGACUUGGCGUCGGUGGUUUAAUCGCCAUCGGUGUCGUAGCUAACGCGAUAAGUCUACCGCCUGGGGACUACGGCCGCAAGGUUAAAACUCAAAGGAAUUGACGGGUCCCCGCACAAGCAGCGGAGCGUGUGGUUUAAUUCGAUGCUACACGAAGAACCUUACCUGGGUUUGACAUAGAGAUAGUAGGGAAGCGAAAGCGGACCGACCCUUCGGGGAGCCUCUACAGGUGUUGCAUGGCUGUCGUCAGCUCGUGUCGUGAGAUGUUCGGUUAAGUCCACUAACGAGCGCAACCCUCGCUGUGUGUUACAAGUGUCACACGGUACUGCCGAUAUUAAGUCGGAGGAAGGUGGGGAUGACGUCAAGUCAGCAUGACCUUUAUAUCCAGGGCUACACACACGCUACAAUGGCCAGUACAAUGGGUUGCCAAGCCGCGAGGCGGAGCCAAUCCUAAAAAGCUGGCCUCAGUUCAGAUUGCAGUCUGCAACUCGACUGCAUGAAGUUGGAGUUGCUAGUAACCGCAGGUCAGCAAUACUGCGGUGAAUACGUUCCCGGGGAUUGUACACACCGCCCGUCAAGUCAUGGAAGCUGGCAACACCUGAAGCCGGUAUCCUAACCCGAAAGGGAGGGAGCUGUCGAAGGUGGGGUCGGUGACUGGGACUAAGUCGUAACAAGGUAACC
Molecule: ribosomal RNA, 695 nt
Filed under: uncultured bacterium
Lineage: Bacteria
Description: bacterial SSU rRNA
Rfam family: Bacterial small subunit ribosomal RNA
Source: RNAcentral